Molecule: ribosomal RNA, 460 nt
Filed under: uncultured bacterium
Lineage: Bacteria
Description: partial 16S ribosomal RNA
Rfam family: Bacterial small subunit ribosomal RNA
Source: RNAcentral
CCUACGGGUGGCAGCAGUGAGGAAUAUUGGUCAAUGGGCGCAAGCCUGAACCAGCCAAGUAGCGUGAAGGAUGACUGCCCUAUGGGUUGUAAACUUCUUUUGUAUGGGAGUAAAGUGCAGUAUGUAUACUGCGUUGCAUGUACCAUAUGAAUAAGGAUCGGCUAACUCCGUGCCAGCAGCCACGGUAAUACGGAGGAUCCGAGCGGUAUGCGGAUUUAUUGGGGUUAAAGGGAGCGUAGGCGGGUUGGUAAGUUAGUGGUGAAAGUUUGCGGCUGAACCGUAAAAUUGCAGUUGAUACUGGCAGCCUUGAGUACAGUAGAGGUAGGCGGAAUUCGUGGGGUAGCGGUGAAAUGCGUAGAUAUCACGAAGAACGCCGAUUGCGAAGGCAGCCUGCUGGACUGUAACUGACGCUGAUGCUCGAAAGUGUGGGUAUCAAACAGGAUUAGAUACCCGUGUAGUC